UUGGGAACACUGAGCUGCUCUUUAUGAUGAUAUCCAAUUACCCUGAAGCUGCAUGUUGGAAAGGUCAUGUGGAGAUAUCAUGUAGAGGGAGAGAGAGGCCCAAUGAACCCCAGCUAUUUUAGCUCUCAUUUUUGCAUCUUCCCAGUGAACUGACAGACAAAGGCUGGGAGCUGGAAACUUCUGAAGGCUCAUUCACUUGCAUGUCUGUCAUGAAGCUUCAGGGCAGCUCCAGCUGAUGCCAGGGACUUCUGGAGUCCAUUACAGAGCUACUCAACCCACGGCAGUAAUCCUCCCUCUGAGAAUACUACUGUAAUCCUCAAGUGCAGAGUAGAGACUACUGUGCGAAAGAACUCGGGAAAGCAGCAGGCAGUCUGGAAUGGCAAUGGGAAGAUCCAAAGGCAGCAAAGGCUUCUCUCCGCCAUGUGAAAGGCCUGAGUUUAGAUACUUCAGGGAAGUUUUAAUGCCAACCUUCUGUAAAAUCCCCAUUCUCUAAUGUAUGGCUUUAAUUAACAAUCAUGUAUCAAUAUUUGUUAAUCAUAACAAAUGUACCAUACUCCUGUGAGAUGUUAUCAACAGGAAAAAUUGAAGGAGAGGUGCAUGGAGCUCUGUACUAUCCUUGCAAUUUUUCUGUAAAUCUAAAACUGUUGUA
RNAcentral lists this long non-coding RNA (649 nucleotides) under Homo sapiens (human). Its description in RNAcentral is "HSALNT0296888". The record is from RNAcentral. Lineage: Eukaryota; Metazoa; Chordata; Mammalia; Primates; Hominidae.